RNAcentral lists this ribosomal RNA (267 nucleotides) under unidentified marine bacterioplankton. Its description in RNAcentral is "partial 16S ribosomal RNA". It matches the Rfam family "Bacterial small subunit ribosomal RNA", at positions 45 to 339 of the family's 1533-position model. RNAcentral also lists the same sequence under 1 other name. The record is from RNAcentral.
AUGCCUAAUACAUGCAAGUCGAACGAGACCUUCGGGUCUAGUGGCGCACGGGUGCGUAACGCGUGGGAAUCUGCCCUUGGGUUCGGAAUAACGUCGGGAAACUGACGCUAAUACCGGAUGAUGACGAAAGUCCAAAGAUUUAUCGCCCAGGGAUGAGCCCGCGUAGGAUUAGCUAGUUGGUGAGGUAAAGGCUCACCAAGGCUACGAUCCUUAGCUGGUCUGAGAGGAUGAUCAGCCACACUGGGACUGAGACACGGCCCAGACUCC